This 433-nucleotide ribosomal RNA is filed under the name uncultured bacterium. RNAcentral's name for it is "partial 16S ribosomal RNA". It matches the Rfam family "Bacterial small subunit ribosomal RNA", at positions 30 to 507 of the family's 1533-position model. The record is from RNAcentral.
AGCGAACGCUGGCGGCAUGCUUAACACAUGCAAGUCGCACGGGCAGCAAUGUCAGUGGCGGACGGGUGAGUUACGCGUAGGAACGUGUCCUGAGGUGGGGGACAACCCCGGGAAACUGGGGAUAAUACCGCAUAUGGGCUGAGGCCCAAAGCCGAGUGGCGCCAUUGGAGCGGGCUGCGUCCGAUUAGGUAGUUGGGGGGGUAAAGGCCUACCAAGCGUGCGAUCGGGAGCUGGUCUGAGAGGACGACCAGCCACACUGGGACUGAGACACGGCCCAGACUCCGACGGGAGGCAGCAGUGGGGAAUAUUGGACGAUGGGCGAAAGCCUGAUCCAGCAAUGCCGCGUGGGUGAAGAAGGUCGUCGGAACGUAAAGCCCUUUCGACGGGGACGAUGAUGACGGUACCCGGAGAAGAAGCCCCGGCUAACUUCGUG